UGGUCUUGACAUCCCUUUGACCGCUCUUUAAUCGGAGCUUUCCUUCGGGACAGAGGAGACAGGUGGUGCAUGGUUGUCGUCAGCUCGUGUCGUGAGAUGUUGGGUUAAGCCCCGCAACGAGCGCAACCCCUAUCUUUAGUAGCCAGCAUUUAAGGUGGGCACUCUAGAGAGACUGCCAGGGAUAACCUGGAGGAAGGUGGGGAUGACGUCAAAUCAUCAUGCCCCUUAUGACCAGGGCUACACACGUGCUACAAUGGCGUAAACAAAGGGAAGCGAGCCCGCGAGGGGGAGCAAAUCCCAAAAAUAACGUCUCAGUUCGGAUUGUAGUCUGCAACUCGACUACAUGAAGCUGGAAUCGCUAGUAAUCGCGAAUCAGAAUGUCGCGGUGAAUACGUUCCCGGGUCUUGUACACACCG
This 416-nucleotide ribosomal RNA is filed under the name uncultured bacterium. RNAcentral describes it as "bacterial SSU rRNA". It matches the Rfam family "Bacterial small subunit ribosomal RNA", at positions 976 to 1392 of the family's 1533-position model. The record is from RNAcentral.